This 1722-nucleotide unclassified non-coding RNA is filed under the name uncultured fungus. RNAcentral's name for it is "sequence contains 18S rRNA gene, ITS1, 5.8S rRNA gene, ITS2, 28S rRNA gene". The stretch from base 624 to 1722 matches the Rfam family "Eukaryotic large subunit ribosomal RNA", at positions 1 to 961 of the family's 3401-position model. Lineage: Eukaryota; Fungi. The record is from RNAcentral.
GGAAGGAUCAUUGACAAAUCUAAAACAACAACUGCUCUCUUCUCCCUGUUUGUGGGGGGAAGAAGCAGAACUUCUACCUGUGAAUUGGCAGUCUCGCAAGAGCUGUUUGCGUUUGGUGUUGGGUUGCUUCUCGGUAACUUCAGCCAAACUGCACACACACAUAAACGUCUAACAAAAUUGUCUAAGCAUUUGCAUAAAACAAAAACAACUUUUAGCAAUGGAUCUCUUGGCUUCUGUAACGAUGAAGAACGCAGUGAAAUGCGAUAAUUAAUGUGAAUUGCAUUAUCUCGUGAAUCAUCGAGUCUUCGAACGCAUCUUGCACUUUCAGGUCUCCUGGAAAGUAUACUUGUUUGAGUAUCAUAAACAUCUCUCAAAGAAACAAACCUUUUUGGCUUUUUGGAAAUGAGACGUCAGAGAGCCUGUCUAUUUUGUGUCUUUUAAUGUAUAUGUGGCGCGAUUUCAUCCUUGUGGUGAAUGCCCAACUACCAAAUGUGAGAUAAAUAUCGCACAAAGAGGUGUUGGGUCAAGCGUUGCUACCUCAGUGUCUGUUGUCUGUCUGUCUGUCUGUCUGUCUUUUGAUAGGUAGGUAGGUAGGUAGAUAUAUGGGUACAACCUCGAGUCAUUGAUCUCAAAUCAAGUAAGAUUACCCGCUGAACUUAAGCAUAUCAGUAAGCGGAGGAAAGAAACUAACAAGGAUUCCCCUAGUAACGGCGAGUGAAGAGGGAUGAGCUCAAAUUUAAAAUCUGUAAGGUUUCCUUACCGAAUUGUAAUUUAUAGAAGUGUUUUCUUGAUGCGGCAACUGGUAUAAGUCUCUUGAAAAGAGCAUCAAAGAGGGUGACAAUCCCGUAUUUGGCCUAUUGCCUGUAUUUAUAUGAUACACUCUCUAAGAGUCGGAUUGUUUGGGAAUGCAGUCCUAAAUGGGUGGUAAAUUUCAUCUAAGGCUAAAUAUAGACAGAAGACCGAUAGCGAACAAGUACCGUGAGGGAAAGAUGAAAAGAACUUUGAAAAGAGAGUUAAAAGUACGUGAAAUUGCUAAAAGGGAAACGAUCAAAGUCAGUAUUGCUUUGAGAGGCUCAGCUAGUUUUAGUGGAAUCAGCCGUCGACUGAGUGUAAAAGCCAGUAGUCUAGGUUGCCUGACAUGGGAGCUAGCGCAUUCCUCUCAAGCAAGUCAACAUCAGUUUUGCCCGCUGGAUAGAUUUAGAGGAAGAUGGGUACUGUCUUCGAUGAUAUCUUUAUAGACUCUAGGUUGAGACAGUGAGUGAGACUGAGGACUGCAAUCUAAAACCGCAAGGUUGGGACUAACAAGUCUAGUAUGCAACUCGGAGUAUGCCUGCACGCAGGAGUCCUACUAGUUGCAUCCUAUAACUUGAGCGUCACCAUUAGAUUUAGGAUGUUGACGAAAUGGCUUUGACCGACCCGUCUUGAAACACGGACCAAGGAGUCUAACAAUUAUGCGAGUGUUUGAGUGUUAAACUCAAGCGCGCAACGAAAGUGAUUUUAAUGGGACUCUUCACGGAUGCACCAUUAGCCGGUCUGGAUUUCUUGAGAGAUUGAGCAAGAGCAUAGCUGUUAGGACCCGAAAGAUGGUGAACUAUGCCUGAAUAGGGUGAAGUCAGAGGAAACUCUGAUGGAAGCUCGUAGCGGUUCUGACGUGCAAAUCGAUCGUCAAAUUUGGGUAUAGGGGCGAAAGACUAAUCGAACCAUCUAGUAGCUGGUUCCCUC